Molecule: ribosomal RNA, 464 nt
Filed under: Vreelandella stevensii
Lineage: Bacteria; Pseudomonadati; Pseudomonadota; Gammaproteobacteria; Oceanospirillales; Halomonadaceae
Description: partial 16S ribosomal RNA
Rfam family: Bacterial small subunit ribosomal RNA
Source: RNAcentral
CCUACGGGGGGCAGCAGUGGGGAAUAUUGGACAAUGGGGGGAACCCUGAUCCAGCCAUGCCGCGUGUGUGAAGAAGGCCCUCGGGUUGUAAAGCACUUUCAGUGAGGAAGAACGCCUGGUGGUUAAUACCCAUCAGGAAAGACAUCACUCACAGAAGAAGCACCGGCUAACUCCGUGCCAGCAGCCGCGGUAAUACGGAGGGUGCGAGCGUUAAUCGGAAUUACUGGGCGUAAAGCGCGCGUAGGUGGCUUGAUAAGCCGGUUGUGAAAGCCCCGGGCUCAACCUGGGAACGGCAUCCGGAACUGUCAAGCUAGAGUGCAGGAGAGGAAGGUAGAAUUCCCGGUGUAGCGGUGAAAUGCGUAGAGAUCGGGAGGAAUACCAGUGGCGAAGGCGGCCUUCUGGACUGACACUGACACUGAGGUGCGAAAGCGUGGGUAGCAAACAGGAUUAGUACCCUGGUAGUC